AGAGUUUGAUCCUGGCUCAGGACGAACGCUGGCGGCACGCUUAACACAUGCAAGUCGAACGAGAGAAGAGGAGCUUGCUUUUCUGAUCUAGUGGCGGACGGGUGAGUAACACGUGAGCAAUCUGCCUUUCAGAGGGGGAUACCGAUUGGAAACGAUCGUUAAUACCGCAUAACAUAAUUGAACCGCAUGAUUUGAUUAUCAAAGAUUUAUCGCUGAAAGAUGAGCUCGCGUCUGAUUAGCUAGUUGGUAAGGUAACGGCUUACCAAGGCGACGAUCAGUAGCCGGACUGAGAGGUUGAUCGGCCACAUUGGGACUGAGACACGGCCCAGACUCCUACGGGAGGCAGCAGUGGGGAAUAUUGCACAAUGGAGGAAACUCUGAUGCAGCGAUGCCGCGUGAGGGAAGAAGGUUUUAGGAUUGUAAACCUCUGUCUUCAGGGACGAAAAAAGACGGUACCUGAGGAGGAAGCUCCGGCUAACUACGUGCCAGCAGCCGCGGUAAUACGUAGGGAGCGAGCGUUGUCCGGAAUUACUGGGUGUAAAGGGAGCGUAGGCGGGAUCGCAAGUCAGAUGUGAAAACUAUGGGCUUAACCCAUAAACUGCAUUUGAAACUGUGGUUCUUGAGUGAAGUAGAGGUAAGCGGAAUUCCUAGUGUAGCGGUGAAAUGCGUAGAUAUUAGGAGGAACAUCAGUGGCGAAGGCGGCUUACUGGGCUUUAACUGACGCUGAGGCUCGAAAGCGUGGGGAGCAAACAGGAUUAGAUACCCUGGUAGUCCACGCCGUAAACGAUGAUUACUAGGUGUGGGGGGACUGACCCCUUCCGUGCCGCAGCAAACGCAAUAAGUAAUCCACCUGGGGAGUACGACCGCAAGGUUGAAACUCAAAGGAAUUGACGGGGGCCCGCACAAGCAGUGGAGUAUGUGGAUUAAUUCGAAGCAACGCGAAGAACCUUACCAGGUCUUGACAUCGUAUGCAUAGCUCAGAGAUGAGUGAAAUCUCUUCGGAGACAUAUAGACAGGUGGUGCAUGGUUGUCGUCAGCUCGUGUCGUGAGAUGUUGGGUUAAGUCCCGCAACGAGCGCAACCCUUACUGUUAGUUGCUACGCAAGAGCACUCUAGCAGGACUGCCGUUGACAAAACGGAGGAAGGUGGGGAUGACGUCAAAUCAUCAUGCCCCUUAUGACUGGGCCUCACACGUACUACAAUGGCUGUCAACAGAGGGAAGCAAAGCCGCGAGGUGGAGCGAACCCCUAAAAGCAGUCUUAGUUCGGAUUGUAGGCUGCAACCCGCCUACAUGAAGUCGGAAUUGCUAGUAAUCGCAGAUCAGCAUGCUGCGGUGAAUACGUUCCCGGGCCUUGUACACACCGCCCGUCACGCCAUGGGAGUCGGUAACACCCGAAGCCUGUAGUCUAACCGCAAGGAGGACGCAGUCGAAGGUGGGAUUGAUGACUGGGGUGAAGUCGUAACAAGGUA
This 1469-nucleotide ribosomal RNA is filed under the name metagenome. RNAcentral describes it as "bacterial SSU rRNA". It matches the Rfam family "Bacterial small subunit ribosomal RNA". The record is from RNAcentral.